RNAcentral lists this ribosomal RNA (492 nucleotides) under uncultured bacterium. RNAcentral describes it as "partial 16S ribosomal RNA". It matches the Rfam family "Bacterial small subunit ribosomal RNA", at positions 29 to 507 of the family's 1533-position model. The record is from RNAcentral.
AGUGAACGCUGGCGGUAGGCCUAACACAUGCAAGUCGAACGGCAGCACAGUAAGAGCUUGCUCUUACGGGUGGCGAGUGGCGGACGGGUGAGGAAUACAUCGGAAUCUACUUUUUCGUGGGGGAUAACGUAGGGAAACUUACGCUAAUACCGCAUACGACCUACGGGUGAAAGCAGUGGAUCUUCGGACCUUGCGCGAUUGAAUGAGCCGAUGUCGGAUUAGCUAGUUGGCGGGGUAAAGGCCCACCAAGGCGACGAUCCGUAGCUGGUCUGAGAGGAUGAUCAGCCACACUGGAACGGAGACACGGUCCAGACUCCUACGGGAGGCAGCAGUGGGGAAUAUUGGGCAAUGGGCGCAAGCCUGAUCCAGCCAUACCGCGUGGGUGAAGAAGGCCUUCGGGUUGUAAAGCCCUUUUGUUGGGAAAGAAAAGCAGCAGGUUAAUACCCCGCUGCUCUGACGGUACCCAAAGAAUAAGCACCGGCUAACUUCGUG